This is a transfer RNA of 88 nucleotides. It matches the Rfam family "tRNA". From Rfam's summary of the family: Transfer RNA (tRNA) molecules are approximately 80 nucleotides in length. Their secondary structure includes four short double-helical elements and three loops (D, anti-codon, and T loops). Further hydrogen bonds mediate the characteristic L-shaped molecular structure. tRNAs have two regions of fundamental functional importance: the anti-codon, which is responsible for specific mRNA codon recognition, and the 3' end, to which the tRNAs corresponding amino acid is attached (by aminoacyl-tRNA synthetases). tRNAs cope with the degeneracy of the genetic code in two manners: having more than one tRNA (with a specific anti-codon) for a particular amino acid; and 'wobble' base-pairing, i.e. permitting non-standard base-pairing at the 3rd anti-codon position.
GCGGAGGUGGCGGAAUUGGCAGACGCGCACGGUUGAGGGCCGUGUGGGAGUUAAUCCCAUGGGGGUUCGAGUCCCCCCCUCCGCACCA